RNAcentral lists this long non-coding RNA (144 nucleotides) under Chinchilla lanigera (long-tailed chinchilla). Its description in RNAcentral is "lncRNA (ENSCLAG00000028904.1)". Lineage: Eukaryota; Metazoa; Chordata; Mammalia; Rodentia; Chinchillidae. The record is from RNAcentral.
AGAAGACAUUGUCUUCCACAUCUCCACCUUUAAAGCUGAUGAGUCAGAAAUCUAGAAGACCUGCAAGAAGAGAGGUGGCAUUGUGCUAGAAUUUGAAGCCUGCGUAAGACUUCACUAAAAAGCUUUUGGCAAAAUGCAUUGCAG